RNAcentral lists this long non-coding RNA (621 nucleotides) under Cyanistes caeruleus (blue tit). RNAcentral's name for it is "lncRNA (ENSCCEG00000001872.1)". Lineage: Eukaryota; Metazoa; Chordata; Aves; Passeriformes; Paridae. The record is from RNAcentral.
AUGUUGGGGUUGGGGGAUGCAGGGCAGAAGCUCAGGAUGGUGGGAGGUGUUUUUACAGCCACCCCCAGUUUGGUGGCACUUCUGUCCCCACCAUGCCAUGGCUCUGCCUGCCCUUCCCACGGCCCCGGUGCACCCGUGGGUGCUCCCAGCCCCUUCCGAGCCCCGGCCCUGCCCUCGGUGCCCGGACAGGGGGUCCUGGGGCUGAUGGCAUUGCCCACAGGUGGCCGGGGAGCAGAAGUACCACCCCGAGUGCUUCAGCUGCCUCAACUGCCACGCCUUCAUCGGGGACGGGGACACCUACGCGCUGGUGGAGCGCUCCAAGCUCUACUGCGGCCACUGCUACUACCAGAUGGUGGUGACCCCGGUGAUCGAGCAGAUCCUGCCCGACUCGCCGGCCUCCCGCAUCCCUCACACCGUCACCCUCGUGUCCAUCCCCGCCUGCUCCGACGGCAAGCGCGGCUUCUCCGUCUCCAUCGACCAGGGCUGCGGCAGCGAGCAUCCCCGCACCGUGCGCGUCCGAGAGGUGGACCCGGACUGCAUCAGCCCUGACAUGAAGAACUCCAUCCACGUUGGUGACCGCAUCCUGGAGAUCAACGGGACCCCCAUCGGCCACGUCCCCCU